UAUUCCCAUCAGUGCCUUUGGCAUCUGCUGUUGGUCCCUCCUGGAUGAAAACAAUGAGACUCCCUCAGAAGUAGCACAGAAUACAUCUGAAGUAGCAUACAAGACCUGAAAUGAGCUGCGCUGCACUAGAUCUACGCUGUCUACAGGACUGUUCAUCUUUUCAUUGAAUCUGGGAUAGGAAGCACCAGCAACCUACCAGUGCCUCCCACUGACCACUUCCCCAGGUCUUCAUGCUGUCAGAUUCUUGAUACUGCAACUUCCAAGCAACAGCCAAUUGGAUUAAUGAGACCAAAAAUACACAGUGCAAGUUUCCUGUGUUAAUGCAGUGGGGAGAUUCUCCUUUCAAGAAUCGACUUCUUACCUUCUCCAAGGACAAAGCUGCAAAGAUACGGGAUUGAAGAAUAAGAAGCAAAGAUCCAAGUAGCUGAAAAUUGCAACAAGGUAAAAUUUGAACUUACUUUAUAUCAAAAGAGUUGGAUUGUUU
Columba livia (rock pigeon) is the source of this 484-nucleotide long non-coding RNA. RefSeq lists it as uncharacterized. The transcript has 6 exons. NCBI's taxonomy places the organism in Eukaryota, Metazoa, Chordata, Aves, Columbiformes, Columbidae. The record is from RefSeq and is a predicted model, not a curated record.